This 495-nucleotide ribosomal RNA is filed under the name uncultured bacterium. RNAcentral describes it as "partial 16S ribosomal RNA". It matches the Rfam family "Bacterial small subunit ribosomal RNA", at positions 28 to 507 of the family's 1533-position model. The record is from RNAcentral.
GACGAACGCUGGCGGCGUGCCUAAUACAUGCAAGUAGAACGCUGAAGGAGGAGCUUGCUUCUCUGGAUGAGUUGCGAACGGGUGAGUAACGCGUAGGUAACCUGCCUGGUAGCGGGGGAUAACUAUUGGAAACGAUAGCUAAUACCGCAUAAGAGUAGAUGUUGCAUGACAUUUGCUUAAAAGGUGCAAUUGCAUCACUACCAGAUGGACCUGCGUUGUAUUAGCUAGUUGGUGGGGUAACGGCUUACCAAGGCGACGAUACAUAGCCGACCUGAGAGGGUGAGCGGCCACACUGAGACUGAGACACGGCCCAGACUCCUACGGGAGGCAGCAGUAGGGAAUCUUCGGCAAUGGACGGAAGUCUGACCGAGCAACGCCGCGUGAGUGAAGAAGGUUUUCGGAUCGUAAAGCUCUGUUGUAAGAGAAGAACGAGUGUGAGAGUGGAAAGUUCACACUGUGACGGUAUCUUACCAGAAAGGGACGGCUAACUACGUG